UAAAACCAUAGAUGGUCUCUGUUCAUCAAG
This 30-nucleotide non-coding RNA is filed under the name Mus musculus (house mouse). The record is from RNAcentral. Lineage: Eukaryota; Metazoa; Chordata; Mammalia; Rodentia; Muridae.